RNAcentral lists this ribosomal RNA (254 nucleotides) under uncultured bacterium. RNAcentral's name for it is "partial 16S ribosomal RNA". It matches the Rfam family "Bacterial small subunit ribosomal RNA", at positions 524 to 776 of the family's 1533-position model. The record is from RNAcentral.
UACGUAGGGUGCGAGCGUUGUCCGGAUUUAUUGGGCGUAAAGAGCUCGUAGGCGGCUCAGUAAGUCAGGUGUGGAAACUCCAGGCUCAACCUGGAGACGCCACCUGAUACUGCUGUGGCUAGAGUCCGGUAGGGGAGCAUGGAAUUCCUGGUGUAGCGGUGAAAUGCGCAGAUAUCAGGAGGAACACCAGUGGCGAAGGCGGUGCUCUGGGCCGGAACUGACGCUGAGGAGCGAAAGCGUGGGGAGCAAACAGG